This 185-nucleotide non-coding RNA is filed under the name Clostridium sp. RNAcentral also lists the same sequence under 1 other name. The record is from RNAcentral. Lineage: Bacteria; Bacillati; Bacillota; Clostridia; Eubacteriales; Clostridiaceae.
AGAAGUGAAUAUCACUCAGGUGCCGGGAUAUGCAGCGCAUAGACCGGUGAAAAGGGAAACAGGUGCGAAUCCUGUACGAACUCGUCACUGUAAGCAGGGAGCGAAGCCGGAGCCACUGGGAGACCGGGAAGGAGGCGGAGCGCAGAUCUGCGAGUCAGGAGACCUGCCUGAGGCAGACACGACGG